CCCGUCGUAGAGGCACCCUGGCCCAUGUAAGAAGGCCACGGUGGAAGCGCCUCAUCUGAGCAAGCAACCAUGGUUCUGAAUGUCCAUAUUGAUUUUGAAUUUGGGUAGCAGGGGCAUUUACUUUGUCGAGGAGGAAAAUUCAGAAGGUAUUGAAUCCUCUUUUACAUGUUUGGUCACAAUAAAACUCCAUUCUGAAUUGACUUAUGAUUUCAAAUGCCCUGCAGGAUGCAGCGGAAGAUGUCCUGCAAGAAUACCAAAAAGGCUGCAGGCUGUUAGCCCAAAACUACUCGCUAGCACUCGAGUAUACUGAUAGAUGACUGGUGAAAGAGCAAAGUGAUGGUACGCUCAGGCACUCUAGGCUAGUACACAGACACACACUAGUGAAGCAUGCACCGAUGGAGCUACACUUGAGAAAAGAUACUACUUGAAUUAAUCGGAGUGGAAUGAAUUUUACAACCGGGGUGCAGCUCCUUUUAUAGGUAGCUGAACCGACUAACUAUACGUAUGAGCUUACGUCAAGCUCCUAGAUUACAUCACCACUGACGACUUACU
This 552-nucleotide long non-coding RNA is filed under the name Triticum aestivum (bread wheat). RNAcentral describes it as "long non-coding RNA (TAES_LNC019935)". Lineage: Eukaryota; Viridiplantae; Streptophyta; Magnoliopsida; Poales; Poaceae. The record is from RNAcentral.